RNAcentral lists this long non-coding RNA (1168 nucleotides) under Manihot esculenta (cassava). RNAcentral's name for it is "long non-coding RNA (MESC_LNC008947)". The record is from RNAcentral. Lineage: Eukaryota; Viridiplantae; Streptophyta; Magnoliopsida; Malpighiales; Euphorbiaceae.
UCAAAUAGAAUAGGGUUUUACAAGGGUUUUGUAUUACUGAAUAAGGCCUUAGCUUUCUGAGGAGGGGACUCCUCUUUUAUACAUUGUCUUGCUCGCUGGUGACGUGUAAAGGUCUCUUCAGGAUUGGACCACGCGUCUCUGCCAUGCAGAUUCGGAGGUACUAGGGUAUCAGCUGCCUGCUCCAUGCGUAACGGCUUCUGAUUCUCCUCGUGCGUACGUUCGAGCGGAUCUGCCAGGCUGCCUAGUGAAUAUUUUUCUGGAUCCUGGGCUGGGCCGGGAGUUGGGCCGGACGCUAAGCCUGAGUGAAGAGGAUGGGUCGAGCCCGGCCUUGAGGGUUGGAUGAGCCAGGCUUGUUAUGUACAUCAGGUGUGUGGGCCUCUACGUCAUGGGCUUUGGGCUGUGGUCAAGCCCCUGGCCAGGGAAGAAGGAAUCCAGCGGUCAUCAAUUGCCCCUUCACCUUCUCGGCGGUUAUUGCUCCAACUGCCGAGGGGGUGAAUACCAAGAACUUUUAUGAUCGCGUCUGUUCGGGUUCAGGUGCCUUAAUAACAUCCUUUCAUCUUUCAGUCGUUGCGCAGUUUCUGAAUUCUAUUUGCUCUUUUCUCUUUCUGUCUUUUUUCUAUUCUUCUUGUCCUCUGCCGCCUUUACUUUUUUUGUCAUCAUUAUCUGGACAUCUCCUUUCUUUCCUUUCCCGUGAAUAUCUUUUAAGAAUCUGACAUCGCUGGCUUAGAGUCUAGUGUAGCUCUGCCUCGUGCUAAGUCCUCAGGCUCCGAGUAUAUAUCAGUGCCAGCUUUUCUUCAUUCUUGAGCCUUCUGUUGAAAUGAGAAAUUCUUGUUUUAUCUGUGGCAGGUCUAUUCGACGCCUUCUUCAAACAGAUUGCCUUGUGCCCCAGAGGUUUGCUUUGAUUUUGCUCUUAUCAUCUUAAGGGAGAACUGUUUCUGACUUGUCUCUGUUUUGAAACUUUUUGCAGUUCCUGAAAUAAAAAUGGGUCAGUUCAAAAUUCUUGAAAAUUUGAUGUUACCUCUAAGGCGUCUGGAGGGUGCAUUGAAGAUCCUUCUGGUAUGGCAGUCGAAGGGUGGGACCAUUCGGCAAGCUGCUGAAACUGCUUUACCCAGGUCGUCUGGCCGGCCUCCUCCUCUGCUUGUUGUCCGGGCUCCAAAGAAGUUCUGGG